ACAAGAGAUCCUUAGCGGUGCUCACAUACCGCUCCGCCUCUCGCCGGAGGGCGGCGUCCUUGGCUCGACGCCGGGGGAUGGAAGGAUUCAUCGGGGGAAUAGGCGAGACACCAGUACCAAUCUGUUCAUGAUUUGCCCAACAGAAUGACGCAGGCAAGAAACAAGUGUAUUGUCCUGUAAUCGAAGGCACUUGUUAAUGUCAAACCAAACCUUUAGAUCAUUGCUGAUGAUGUCAAAAAAAAAUAUUAUCCAAUAAAAAAAUCGUUUGAGUUGGCUAUCGACCUUUAA
Oryza sativa Japonica Group (Japanese rice) is the source of this 288-nucleotide non-coding RNA. The record is from RefSeq and is a predicted model, not a curated record. NCBI's taxonomy places the organism in Eukaryota, Viridiplantae, Streptophyta, Magnoliopsida, Poales, Poaceae.